Molecule: ribosomal RNA, 404 nt
Filed under: uncultured Oscillospiraceae bacterium
Lineage: Bacteria; Bacillati; Bacillota; Clostridia; Eubacteriales; Oscillospiraceae
Description: bacterial SSU rRNA
Rfam family: Bacterial small subunit ribosomal RNA
Source: RNAcentral
AGGGAAUCUUCCACAAUGGACGGAAGUCUGAUGGAGCAACGCCGCGUGAAGGAAGAAGGCUUUCGGGUUGUAAACUUCUUUUGUCAGGGACGAAAAAAAUGACGGUACCUGACGAAUAAGCCACGGCUAACUACGUGCCAGCAGCCGCGGUAAUACGUAGGUGGCAAGCGUUAUCCGGAUUUACUGGGUGUAAAGGGCGUGUAGGCGGGAAAGCAAGUCAGGCGUGAAAACUAUGGGCUCAACCCAUAGCCUGCGUUUGAAACUGUUUUUCUUGAGUGUCGGAGAGGUAAUCGGAAUUCCGUGUGUAGCGGUGAAAUGCGUAGAUAUACGGAGGAACACCAGUGGCGAAGGCGGAUUACUGGACGAUAACUGACGCUGAGGCGCGAAAGCGUGGGGAGCAAACA